RNAcentral lists this transfer RNA (85 nucleotides) under Deinococcus arboris. RNAcentral describes it as "Deinococcus sp. HMF7620 tRNA-Leu". It matches the Rfam family "tRNA". From Rfam's summary of the family: Transfer RNA (tRNA) molecules are approximately 80 nucleotides in length. Their secondary structure includes four short double-helical elements and three loops (D, anti-codon, and T loops). RNAcentral also lists the same sequence under 2 other names. Lineage: Bacteria; Thermotogati; Deinococcota; Deinococci; Deinococcales; Deinococcaceae. The record is from RNAcentral.
GCCGGGAUGGCGGAAUCGGUAGACGCAUCCGACUUAAAAUCGGCCGGGGCAACCCGUGGGGGUUCAAGUCCCCUUCCUGGCACCA